Molecule: unclassified non-coding RNA, 256 nt
Filed under: Melitaea cinxia (Glanville fritillary)
Lineage: Eukaryota; Metazoa; Arthropoda; Insecta; Lepidoptera; Nymphalidae
Description: misc RNA ENSMCXG00005014900.1
Source: RNAcentral
CAGAAUAAACCAGAACACACAUAUAGUCCUCCUGAACAGUAUUUUAAUACUCCAAUUCCUAUGCAAGUAGACGAAUUCGAUAAAUUUUUAAAGAAACAUGAUAUUGAUGUGGCAUCCGUUAUGGCUCCUUUGAGUAUCCCAGUUCCUCAAAGCGUAAAAUCCUGGAAAUCAAAAAAUAAAGUCAUUUCAAAGGCAAGCAAUCGAAAUGUUAAUGAUUUGAAAAAGUGUUAUGCAUUAAAACGACAGCAAGAUAAUC